CCGGCUCCUCCCUCCCCCACCACGCCCGCUCGCGCCCAGGCUCAUCCCCGCCCCUCCCUGACUUCGAGAUGAUUUACAUUAAAACGAGUUAUGUGGGGCUGAGGAUGUAGCUCGGUGGCACAGGUGCCUUCCUGGCAAGCACAAGGUCCCGAGUUCGAUCCCCGGUCCCAAGAAAAAAAAUAGAUCAUAGGGUCACCUGUGUAAUGACGGUUUCUUGCUCUUCUGUCUUUGGUGGAAAAAGGGUCACGGUCAAUCUAAGGCCAAUUAUUCUACUUGGAUGAAGAAAUUCUUCUGUGUGUUUUAGCUGAUGAAAACUCAUGGCUUUCCUUAUAAAAGCUCAUGGCUGUCCCGGCUGGUGGAAACUGUCAUGGCUCUCAGAUGAGAAGUGAAGCCAUUGAAUGGAAACUUAAAUGUUUAGAUUAAUUGUAACAUCGGUUGUGGCUGGGAAAUUUGACUUUUUGAAACUGUGUCAUAACCAAUGAAUCAUCACAGUUGGCAAUCUUCAAAACACUGAUGCAUUUUUCUGCAUGCUGUUCCCAAAUGUGCUGGACCAGCUGUUGCAAGCCACACUAUCCAAUCUCCUGGAAGACCUCUUCUUGCACCACGAAUCACCUAACGUAUAUUCCUCUUUGUUCUAAUGAAGAAUGGGAAAAUUAGAGCAAGAUGCCAUCCAACUGAUAACAAGUCCUGCUGUGUUUUACCAACAUAAAAAAUUAGACUGGAGACCGAAGAGCGGCAGGUGGCUUUUGGCACCAAGAAAUAAUCACACUUGAUGUGGAAAGUAAAGUAAAAGGAGCCAUCUGUUCACUGCAGGAGGACGUGAAAAAUCACAUUAACAUAUUGUCACUAACAUCAUGAAAUACACAGUUAAUAAUAAAUUUAGUUAUCA
Molecule: long non-coding RNA, 889 nt
Organism: Chinchilla lanigera (long-tailed chinchilla)
Lineage: Eukaryota; Metazoa; Chordata; Mammalia; Rodentia; Chinchillidae
Exons: 5
Source: RefSeq, a predicted model, not a curated record